RNAcentral lists this ribosomal RNA (626 nucleotides) under uncultured bacterium. Its description in RNAcentral is "bacterial SSU rRNA". It matches the Rfam family "Bacterial small subunit ribosomal RNA", at positions 249 to 885 of the family's 1533-position model. The record is from RNAcentral.
UUGGUGAGGUAACGGCCCACCAAGGCGACGACGGGUAGCCGGCCUGAGAGGGCGACCGGCCACACUGGGACUGAGACACGGCCCAGACUCCUACGGGAGGCAGCAGUGGGGAAUAUUGCGCAAUGGGCGAAAGCCUGACGCAGCGACGCCGCGUGAGGGAUGAAGGCCUUCGGGUUGUAAACCUCUUUCAGCAGGGAAGAAGCGAAAGUGACGGUACCUGCAGAAGAAGCACCGGCUAACUACGUGCCAGCAGCCGCGGUAAUACGUAGGGUGCAAGCGUUGUCCGGAAUUAUUGGGCGUAAAGAGCUCGUAGGCGGUCUGACGCGUCGGAUGUGAAAACCCAGGGCUCAACCCUGGGCCUGCAUUCGAUACGGGCAGACUAGAGUUCGGUAGGGGAGACUGGAAUUCCUGGUGUAGCGGUGAAAUGCGCAGAUAUCAGGAGGAACACCGGUGGCGAAGGCGGGUCUCUGGGCCGUAACUGACGCUGAGGAGCGAAAGCGUGGGGAGCGAACAGGAUUAGAUACCCUGGUAGUCCACGCCGUAAACGUUGGGCGCUAGGUGUGGGGACCUAUCCACGGUCUCCGUGCCGCAGCUAACGCAUUAAGCGCCCCGCCUGGGGAGUACGG